Molecule: long non-coding RNA, 1678 nt
Organism: Prosopis cineraria
Lineage: Eukaryota; Viridiplantae; Streptophyta; Magnoliopsida; Fabales; Fabaceae
Exons: 2
Source: RefSeq, a predicted model, not a curated record
AGUUUAGGUUAACAGGAGAGUUAUCAGAAUUACACAUGGACCCAGAAGAUAAAGGUAAAUCUAAGAAUUAAUAAAAGAAACUAAAGAAGCCUCUUGAGGAUAGCUCAGGUGGUAAGAGUAGGAUUGGAUGUAACAAUGUGGGUAGAGAUCUAGGGCUUAUACCCAUUUAGCGUGACCCAAAAAAACAUCUCAAGGUCACAAGUAACUAGCUUUCGGUACUAUGUUAGUAAAGCAAAUAAACAAUCAUCAAAGAAAAUUGAGUCUAUUCUUCCAUGAUUUUGCCAAAGUUGUUCAUGAAAUUGCAGAAAGAAUGUUUUAGCCUCAUUUCCUUGCUUUCUGCUGGUUGGAUGGAGUUUAUCAUAGUGCAUUUGGCUUAGAUCUUUGUUUCAAGGCUUCAAAAUAUUUAAAAGUUUUGGUUGAAUCAUUUAACAUUGUAAACCUUUUUCCACAGUUCCAAGUUGAUGUUUCGUGUUAGGCAAAAGCUAUUGUUUAAAUAAAUGAAGUACUAGUUCUCCUGAAGUAAUAGUAGCAUCUUAUUCUUAUUGAUGAUCUGGAACAUAAAUCGCAGUUCUGGAAUGGAAUUUUUAACGCUCCUCUCUGGCCGGCGCUUCUUUCUGCCUUACCCUUCUUUUUCUUUCUUCCUCUUCCUGAGCUAAGCUCCAUCCAAUCAGGCAUGAAAGAAAGCACGAAUUGAAAAAUUCAACCUCCCAAAGCUUUUACCCUUUCUUGAUUAGAACUAUUAAUAUCAAAGCCAUAAAAAUGGAGCAGUGUACUUAUUUCUAGAUAUACGUUCUUCCUUUUGUAAUGUUUUCGAUUGUCUUUUCAUCUCGUUUGUCAGUACAUGCUUUUACAUCUCUUCUUCACCUUGUUGGUAGAAGUGGCAAAUGCUUUCUCUGUUAUUUGAGGUUCAACUUUUAGUGAAAGCCUUAUUAUCUCUCAUUCUUGCUUCACAAGUUGAAACCUGUAGUUUUAAACUCUUCAUUUCUCAUCCCUUUUUUAAUCAUGCAGUGGAAGCACUAUUGUUGGCAUUGGUUCACCAGAUCCUCCACAAUUUGUUUAUGAUGAAGAUACAUACAAAGAUGUUUUCUUGUCAGAUGCAUAUUUCCUCACUAGAGAGGCUAACCAGUGGUACAGAGAACCUACCUCAAGCCCUACCCCUUCGUCCUAUUCUUCUCAGAUUGCUUAAUUAGUCUUCUUUCCAUUUCCAUAAGCCUCUACAUGGUUAUAUAUUAUCUCCAUAUUGUAAUCAUGAAAUGAUGUAGAACUUAGCUCUGCUGCAUUUUCUGCUUUAGUUGCUGCGACUUUCAUGAGCCAAAUUCAAGGAUCUGGGUUCUCUGCUGUACCUUUAUGCUGCUACAAUUAUAAAAUUUUAAUUUUUUAUGGCAAAAUUUUACAAAAUGGAAAUAAUUUUCUUGCUAUGGCUUUUUUUAAAAAAAUGAUUGAAUAUUACAAAUAAAAAAUAAAUAUAAAAUAUGAAGAAAUGGCAGCACCAUGGUGCUGCUGUUUCAGCAGCAGCAGCAGAUGAUCCAUGUCCUAAAUGCAAACAUUAGGAAAAGGGCAAAAAGGCUGGCAAUGUUUUGUAUCAAUACUAGUCCUGGGGAAGGAAGUGAAAAAUAAAUUCAAUAAAUAUGUCUAGGGUCCCUCAUGCUUGAGGAUCCUCUGAAUUUUUUGUGGAAUA